RNAcentral lists this ribosomal RNA (1048 nucleotides) under uncultured bacterium. Its description in RNAcentral is "bacterial SSU rRNA". It matches the Rfam family "Bacterial small subunit ribosomal RNA", at positions 50 to 1116 of the family's 1533-position model. The record is from RNAcentral.
AACACAUGCAAGUCGAGCGAUGAAGCACCUUCGGGUGUGAAUUAGCGGCGAACGGGUGAGGAACACGUGAGAAAUCUGCCUUCAACACUGGGAUAACUCCGGGAAACCGGGGCUAAUACCGGAUAUGAAACCUGCGGGCAUCCGCGGGUUUGGAAAGUUUUUCGGUUGAAGAUGAUCUCGCGGCCUAUCAGCUUGUUGGUGAGGUAAUGGCUCACCAAGGCGACGACGGGUAGCCGGCCUGAGAGGGCGACCGGCCACACUGGGACUGAGACACGGCCCAGACUCCUACGGGAGGCAGCAGUGGGGAAUAUUGGGCAAUGGAGGAAACUCUGACCCAGCGACGCCGCGUGCGGGAUGAAGGCCUUCGGGUUGUAAACCGCCUUCAGCAGGGAAGAAGCGAAAGUGACGGUACCUGCAGAAGAAGCACCGGCUAACUAUGUGCCAGCAGCCGUGGUAAUACAUAGGGUGCAAGCGUUGUCCGGAAUUAUUGGGCGUAAAGAGCUCGUAGGUGGUUCGUCACGUCGGAUGUGAAACUCUGGGGCUUAACCCCAGACCUGCAUUCGAUACGGGCGAGCUUGAGUAUGGUAGGGGAGUCUGGAAUUCCUGGUGUAGCGGUGGAAUGCGCAGAUAUCAGGAGGAACACCAAUGGCGAAGGCAGGACUCUGGGCCAUUACUGACACUGAGGAGCGAAAGCGUGGGGAGCGAACAGGAUUAGAUACCCUGGUAGUCCACGCCGUAAACGGUGGGCACUAGUUGUGGGGACCUUCCACGGUCUCUGCGACGCAGCUAACGCAUUAAGUGCCCCGCCUGGGGAGUACGAUCGCAAGAUUAAAACUCAAAGGAAUUGACGGGGCCCCGCACAAGCAGCGGAGCAUGCGGCUUAACUCGACGCAACGCGAAGAACCUUACCAAGGCUUGACAUAUACAGGAAUAUGGUAGAGAUGUCAUAGCCGCAAGGUCUGUAUACAGGUGGUGCAUGGUUGUCGUCAGCUCGUGUCGUGAGAUGUUGGGUUAAGUCCCGCAACGAGCGCAACCCUCGUUCUGUGUU